Molecule: ribosomal RNA, 233 nt
Filed under: uncultured bacterium
Lineage: Bacteria
Description: partial 16S ribosomal RNA
Rfam family: Bacterial small subunit ribosomal RNA
Source: RNAcentral
CGGGACGGGUGAGUAAUGUCUAGGGAACUGCCGAGUGGAGGGGGAUAACUACUGGAAACGGUAGCUAAUACCGCAUAACGUCGCAAGACCAAAGAGGGGGACCUUCGGGCCUCUUGCCAUCGGAUGUGCCCAGAUGGGAUUAGCUAGUAGGUGGGGUAAUGGCUCACCUAGGCGACGAUCCCUAGCUGGUCUGAGAGGAUGACCAGCCACACUGGAACUGAGACACGGUCCAG